GGGGCUGUAGCUCAGCGGUAGAGCACUAGCCUAGCAUGCUUGAGUCACUGGGUUCAAUCCUCAGCACCA
This is a non-coding RNA of Ictidomys tridecemlineatus (thirteen-lined ground squirrel), 69 nucleotides long. The record is from Rfam. NCBI's taxonomy places the organism in Eukaryota, Metazoa, Chordata, Mammalia, Rodentia, Sciuridae.